AUUGAACGCUGGCGGCAGGCCUAACACAUGCAAGUCGAGCGGUAGAGAGAAGCUUGCUUCUCUUGAGAGCGGCGGACGGGUGAGUAAUGCCUAGGAAUCUGCCUGGUAGUGGGGGAUAACGUUCGGAAACGAACGCUAAUACCGCAUACGUCCUACGGGAGAAAGCAGGGGACCUUCGGGCCUUGCGCUAUCAGAUGAGCCUAGGUCGGAUUAGCUAGUUGGUGAGGUAAUGGCUCACCAAGGCGACGAUCCGUAACUGGUCUGAGAGGAUGAUCAGUCACACUGGAACUGAGACACGGUCCAGACUCCUACGGGAGGCAGCAGUGGGGAAUAUUGGACAAUGGGCGAAAGCCUGAUCCAGCCAUGCCGCGUGUGUGAAGAAGGUCUUCGGAUUGUAAAGCACUUUAAGUUGGGAGGAAGGGCAGUUACCUAAUACGUGAUUGUUUUGACGUUACCGACAGAAUAAGCACCGGCUAACUCUGUG
This 484-nucleotide ribosomal RNA is filed under the name uncultured Pseudomonas sp. Its description in RNAcentral is "bacterial SSU rRNA". It matches the Rfam family "Bacterial small subunit ribosomal RNA", at positions 30 to 507 of the family's 1533-position model. Lineage: Bacteria; Pseudomonadati; Pseudomonadota; Gammaproteobacteria; Pseudomonadales; Pseudomonadaceae. The record is from RNAcentral.